This is a long non-coding RNA of Belonocnema kinseyi, 494 nucleotides long. RefSeq lists it as uncharacterized. Lineage: Eukaryota; Metazoa; Arthropoda; Insecta; Hymenoptera; Cynipidae. The record is from RefSeq and is a predicted model, not a curated record. The transcript has 2 exons.
UUUACAGGGUGUUGGAAUGAUCAUGGAGAGACAUCCCGACGCAAAACUCUAAAUACGAUUCCUCAGCUUUAUAUCUCUUUCUCCGACGGUGUGUGUGGCGUAGAUAUUUAAGUGCUGUCUCACAGCUUGGUCUAGAAUCGCUCUGAUGUCUCGACAACCGUGAACGGCACGCAUUCUGAGUGCCUCCAAUCGUGACAUAUGAAGUCGCUGGCCAGAACCCUGAACGACGACAACGGAGUUUCCAAUUGGCACGUCAAUGUGAAGCCCUGGGAGGGAAACUACUGAUAAGGUUGCACCGGGCAUGCACUCUUCCAUGUAAUUGGCGUCUAGGAGACCAACUCCUUGGGCUCCUUUGUCGUCAUCCGCGAUUACCGAAUCUGUGAUCGUUACCGAACAGCCCACGGCGUAAUCCUGGAAGAGAAAUUUGCAUAGUUCAAUUUUGCAGAUAGAUCAAUUAUUGUAUUUAGAUAAUGUCACUUUUUUUUUUUUAAUUU